Molecule: unclassified non-coding RNA, 352 nt
Filed under: soil metagenome
Description: partial contains 5.8S ribosomal RNA, internal transcribed spacer 2, and large subunit ribosomal RNA
Rfam family: 5.8S ribosomal RNA (bases 1-120)
Source: RNAcentral
GAUGAAGAACGCAGCGAAAUGCGAUAAGUAAUGUGAAUUGCAGAAUUCAGUGAAUCAUCGAAUCUUUGAACGCACAUUGCGCCCGCCAGUAUUCUGGCGGGCAUGCCUGUUCUAGCGUCAUUACAACCCUCAGGCCCCCGGGCCUGGCGUUGGGGAUCGGCGGAAGCCCCCUGUGGGCACACGCCGUCCCUCAAAUACAGUGGCGGUCCCGCCGCAGCUUCCAUUGCGUAGUAGCUAACACCUCGCAACUGGAGAGCGGCGCGGCCAUGCCGUAAAACACCCAACUUCUGAAUGUUGACCUCGAAUCAGGUAGGAAUACCCGCUGAACUUAAGCAUAUCAAUAAGCGGAGGA